Molecule: long non-coding RNA, 6101 nt
Organism: Loxodonta africana (African savanna elephant)
Lineage: Eukaryota; Metazoa; Chordata; Mammalia; Proboscidea; Elephantidae
Exons: 2
Source: RefSeq, a predicted model, not a curated record
GUUAGCUCUUCCCACAGGGCUCUCAAGGGAGACUGGGGAUCCUGUUAUGGUGGUCUUUUUCCCGACACUUCCGGGUGUAAAUCCCCAUUGUCGGGGCUUCUUCAGGCGCCUGGUUCUCGGUGCAGGAAAGUGAAGAAACCGCAGCAGCUAGAACUGCGCGAUUCUCAGCCGGCGGGACGCUGUCCCCGGCCCGAGGGGAAGUGCACGGAGACGCUGGGGGACCCGGCAGCCGCGAGCGCCGGCGGCGCAGGGGAGCCCACCACGCGGCCACAGAGACGACUGAGGCGCCGGGCAGGCGGCACGCACCUCGACACCCUGCGCCCCGCCGCUCCGCCGGUCGGAACCCCGGGGUCGGCGCCGGCGAGGGAGCAACGCCGCCAGUCCGCACCGGCAGAGCCUAGUUCCUCAAGAACAUGAGCCUGGCGUGCUGCGGCCUCGGAGAAAUGGCGUCUGCAGGCCGAGUGGACCAGCUCCCGGCAGCACCGAAACCCGCCGGCACCCCCGCAUUUCCAGCACCCGACAGAUUCUUUCCGAGUGUUCCGGCGCAGGUGCUGCGCGCCUGCGCGAACGAGUCAGGACGUCCGCUCCCCUGGCGGACGCAGGCGUAACGACGACGUAAUGACGUAACUGUACAGGACGGCGGGGCCGCGGUGGCUGCCAGGACAUGUAGUCUUAAGCAAGAAACCGGCCAGCUCCAGCAGAAUCCGGGAGCAGCGACAGUGACCGAAACCGAACCUGAGGUCCUCAAGCAGACGUACCCCUGCAGCGCCUCUUCUGGGAGUGUGGAUUUCACCCUGCUGUGUUCUGAGUCGACCUAUCUCGCUGUACUCAAGUGACUCCCCAGAGGUUCUAGAAACCUCCCCACACACAACGUCAGAUUGAGUCUUAAUGUGAUGCCUUUAGGGAAAUGUAGUCCGAGGCCAGAAACGCUGCGGCAGACUGGGAGGCAGGGUCCAGAUUUCUCUCAGAGCUCUGGCCUGUACGCAGUGACCGCGAGAGCUGGGUUGCUAAGCAGCUCGAAGGGGUCAGACUGUGUGUGUUUGUGUUUCCCAGUGCCCUCUGCCGUGGUGGAGGUGAGGAAGGGAGGACGGUGGUGUGUGUUCAGGCUGUGCUUGAGCCUGUGAGAGGGAAUAAGUGGAUAAGUGUGAUCCAUUUCGGAUUGUGUUUGGUGGUAUGGGAAACGAGGUGAAACUGUGCACCAGAGAUUUGUUAAUAAGCACAAUUAAACCCAUGCACACCUUGCCUUAAAUUCAGGUGGAAUAUACUCAAGGUCAUAGUUUGGUUCUCAGGGACUUGCUCUGAUUUUCUUCAGUUUCAGCUUGAACUUGCAAAUGAGCAAUUGAUGGUCUGUUCCACAGUUGGCCCCUGGCCUUGUUCUGACUGAUGAUAUUGAGCUUUUCCAUUGUCUCUUUCCACAGGUGUAGUCAAUUUGAUUUCUGUGUGUUCCAUCUGGCAAGGUCCAUGUGUAUAGCCACCGUUUAUGUUGCUGAAAGAAGGUAUUUCCAAUGAAGAAGUCAAUGGUCUUGAGAAAUUCUAUCAUUCAGUCUCCAGCAUUGUUUCUGUCACCAAGGCCGUAUUUUCCAAAUACUGAUCCUUCUUCUUAGUUUACAACUUUCGCAUUCCAAUCGCCAGUAAUUAUCAAUUCAUCUUGAUUGCAUGUUCGAUCAAUUUCAGACUGCAGUAGCUGAUAAAAAAUCUUCUAUUUCUUCAUCUUUGGCCCUAGUGGUUGGUGUGUAAAUUAGAAUAAUAGUCAUAUUAACUGGUCUUCCUUGUAGGCAUAUGGAUAUUAUCCUAUCACUGACAGCGUUGUACUUCAGGAUAGAUCUUGAAACAUUCUUUUUGAGGAUGAAUGCAACACCAUUCCUCUUCAAGUUGUCAUUCCCCGCAUAGUAGGCUAUGUGAUUGUCCAAUUCAAAACAGCCAAUACCAGUACAUUUCAGCUCACUAAUGCCUAGAAUAUUGAUGUUUAUGCAUUGCAUUCCAUUUUUGACGAUUUCCAAUUUUCCUAGAUUCAUACUUUGUACAUUCCAGGUUCCAAUUAUUAAUGGAUGUUUGCAGCUGUUGUUUCUCAUUUUGAGUCCCGCCACAUCAGCGAAUGAAGGUCCUGAAAGCUUUACUCCAUCCACAUCAUUAAGGUCGACUCUACUUAGAGGAGGCAGCUCUUCCUCAGUCAUCUUUUGAGUGCCUUCCAACCUGGGGGGCUCAUCUUCCAGCACUAUAUCGGACAAUGUUCCGCUGCUAUUCAUAAGGUUUUCACUGGCAGAAUUUAGCGCAUGCUAAAACACUGUGUCUAUGGGGAGACUGGGAACACUACAUGCAUGCUUAGGAAAAAACGGAUGCUCAUCAAACACCUAAGAAGAACCUAUCCUUUGGCCUCAGACUGACCCUGAAGCACAGAUCAAAGUUGCAAAGACAGGUUUUUUUUUGUAUGUUUGUAUUUUUUUUCUUUUCUUCUAUUUUUUCUCUUCUUUUUGUUGUCUCUUCUGUUAUGUCCAUUUUCCUUUUUUGUCUUUGUUUAGUGCAAGGAAAUAUCUUUUGAAAUACCAGUGUGAACAGGCUGGGGAACAGAGUCCUCAGGUCCAUGCACAUAGACACCAGUCAUUUAAAAAAUAUGUAGGAUGGUUCCUGAAAAAGUAGAACAUAGAACUACCAUAUGACCCAGCAAUCCUAGAUAUAUACCCAAAAUAUUUGAAAGGAGGAAUGCCAAGGGAAACCUGUACACCAAUGAUCAUUGCAGCACUUUUCACGGUAGCCAGAAGGUGGAAACAACUGAAAUGUCCGACAACAGGUGAAUGGAUAAACAAAAUGUGGUAUAUAAACAUAAUGGUACAUGUCUUGGUCAUCUACUGCUACCAUAACAGAAAUACCAUAAGUGGGUGGCUUUAACAAAGAGAAAUUUAUUUCCUCACAAUAAAGUUGGCUAAAAGUCCAAAUUCAAGACAACAGCUCCAGGAGAGGCUUUCAGUCUCUGUCGGCUCUGGAAGAAGGUCCUUGCCCUCAAUCUUCCCCUGGUCGAAGAGCUUCUCAGGUGCAGGGACCCCGGGUCCAGUGGACACGCUGUGCUCCUGGUGCUACUUUCUUGGUGGUAUGAGGUCCCCAACUCUCUCCUUGUUUCCCUUUAUCUCUUGAGAGAGAAAAAGUGGUACAGGCUGCACCAAAGGGAAACUCCCUUUAUCUUGGAUCGGGGGGUGACCUGAGUGAGGGUGGUGUUAUCCAACCCUAACCCUUUUAACAUAAAAUUACAAUCAUAAAUGGAGGACAACCACUCAAUACUGGGAAGCAUGGCCUAACCAACUUGAUACACACAUUUUUCGGGGGACAUAAUUCAAUCCAUGACAGUAUACUACUCAGCCAUAAAGAGAAAUGAAGUCCUGAUGCAUGCUACGAUAUUAUGUUGAGUGAAAUAAGUCAGUUCCAAAGGAUAAAUACUGUAUGGUGAUGAAUCUGUGAAACAUUUCAUAACACGGAGCAACCUGGAAGGCAUUAUGCUGAGUGAAAUUAGUUGCAAAAGGACAAAUAUUAUAUAAGACCACUAUUAUAAGAUCUCGAGAAAUAGUUUAAACUGAGAAGAACACAUUCUUUUGUGGUUACAAGAGGGGGCAGGGAGGAAAGGUGGGAGGAGGUAUUUACCAAUUAGAUAGCAGAUACCUACUUUAGGUGAAGGGAAGGACAGCACUCAAUACAGAGGAGGUCAACACAACUGGACUAAACCAAAAGCAAAGAGGUUUUCUGAAUAAACUGAAUGCUUCCAAGGUCAGCGAAGCAGGGGCAGGGGUUUGGAGACCAUGGUUUCAGGGGACAUCUAAGUCAAUUGGAAAAACAAAAUCUUAAUAGAAGAAAACCUCCUGCAUCCCACUUUGAAGAGUGGCGUCUGGGGGUCUUAAAGGCUAGCAAGCGGCCAUCUAAGAUGCAUCAAUGAGUUUCAAUGCACCUGGAUGAAAGGAGAAUAAACAACACCAAGGACACAAGGUAAUUAUGAGCCUGAGACAGAAAGGGCUACAUGAACCAGAGACUACAUCAUCCUGAGACCAGAAGAACUAGAUGGUGCCCAGCCACAACUGAUAACUACCCUGACAGGGAACACAACAGAGAACCCCUGAGGGCGCAGGGAAACAGUGGGGUGCAGACCCCAAAACCUUGUAAAAAGACCAGACUUAACUGUCUGACUGAGACUAGAAAGGCCCCGGCAGUCAUGGUCCCCUAACCUUCUGUUGGCCCAGGACAGGAACCAUAUGUGAAGCGAACUCAUCAGACAUGGAUUGGACUGCACGAUGGGUUGGAGACAGAUGCUGCUGAGGAGUGAGCUACUUACAUCCGGUGGACACUUGAGACUGUGUUGAUAUCUCCUGUCUGGAGGGGAGAUGGGAGGGUACAGAGGGUUAGAGGCUGGCAAUAUGGUCAUGAAAAGAGAGACUAGGACUUCAGUCUAGUUAUAGGCCUAGAAGCAACAAUGGGUGUUGGGAAUGUGUCUGGAGAACAUUCAGCAAUGUCUUGUAAGACAUCUGCCUUAAGGGAUGAUGCCCCAGGCAGUGACUCAGACAUCACCCUAGUGGACGACUGAGACAAAGGCUCUUCAGACAUAACUGGGUUAAUCUCAGCAGAUGGGGGUCUGAGGGGCUAAUAGUUUUCCUGGGGAGGGUGGUUUAGCAGCCAAACAUGGAGUAAUCCCUUCAGGUGGGAGCUGCUAUUUGGUGAUGGCCUUGCUAUUCCUCAAUGAAACUCAUUUUCUUUCACUCCUAAUAGAGUGUGGGAUUUUGUUCUUCAACAAUACAAACAAACAGAAAACAUGACCAGAGCCUUUGCAGCAGCAAAUUAGCUAGGAGAAGAUUAUAAUGUAAUGCUUUCAAGUUCUGAUUUAAAGUAGAAUUCUAACCCAGGCAAAAUGUGAGGGCAAUCAAGGCAUUUCCAGACAAGUAAGUAAGAACUUAAACAUCUACUUGCAAGGCAUGCACCUUGAGGAAACUGUUGGAGAAAGGAAAUCGGCACAAAGGACUGAUGAGAAAAAAAAAAAAAGACUGUUUAGGCAUAGAAAAUAAAAACAGGCAUCUGAUCUGUCUGUAAAGAGACUAAAGUAACUCUAAGCGCUCAAUGUAGUCUUUCACCUUAGGUUUGGCGUUGGCUGUCUAGCAGCUCCAGGUAAGCUUUCCCCCAGGUUCUACCUUCCUUCCCUAGGAACCAACCCAUCACCAUGAAGGAAAUGAGUUGCUUUGCGGAUCAGGCUAAAGAAUGUGAAGACUUAAGGCAAACUUUUGGUAUCAGCCUCCUCAGGUUUCUGACAUGCCCAGCAAAGUGAGAGAUCAUGGAAACUCCUUGUUUCCAUUCUCAUCUGGAGAGCUAACAUUCUGAGCAACGUGAUUGUUAACCAACCAGUCUUGAGAAUAUCCGUCCUGUGGCUGCUUUGUAAUCAACGUGAAACCCCCUUGACCUCCUGUCUUUCAAUUGUGUCUUGUAGCCAGUCAAUCGACUCACGUAAGCAAUAAUGACAACGAUUGUGCUUUACUUGUCGCGCCUUUGAUUGACCUUCGUCACUGUGAACCAACAAGAAAAACUGUAAUUUUAUUUUCCCCCUUCAGCACUCUGAUUACUCCUGAUUUGCCUUCUUCCCCUGAGAUUCCGGAACGUCAGCCUGAGACUUUGCGAUCUCCCACUGCCACGUCUCCGCUGCAAUAAAUCUCUUUCGAUUUUACCUUAAGGGAGCUGGAAAGUCAUUUCUCUCCAACAUUUUGGCGUAGUUAAUCGGCAGGGUUUUUGAAGUUACCCUUCCCCCGGAGACCCGAAGACCUGAAACACGGGACUCUGGCACCCAGGGCCCCUUUGUGUGCCCCUCCCUGCAGCUUUUUCGGACCCUUCUGGCUGUCUGGGGGGAGAAGGGAGCAGAGAGACUGGAGGACUUCAUUACCACCAAGCAGAAGAGCCAGGAGCAUUUGCUUUGAACCAGGGGCCCCUGCACUGAGAAGCUGCUAGAUCUGGGGAAGACUGAUGACAAGGACCUUCUCCCAGAGCCAACAGAGAGAGAAAGACUUUCCUAGGAGCUGACGCCCUGAAUUCAGACUUCUAGUCUCCUAGACUGUGAGAGAAUAAAUUACUCUUUGUAAAAGCCA